AAUUUUCAAAUAUGAGUAAUGUAAUUUAGUGGGUUUUGUUUUUUGAAGACAUCCAAAUAGAAGUGGGAGGCUGUGUGCAGAACUGCCAGAUACUGACUAGCAUCGACUUAAAGCAAUGCUAUCUGUAAAGCAGCAAUAAAACAAUAGGAAGCUGCACUGCAGUGGAUUCUGGCAGGAGUCACUCUUAGCCAUGUGAAGGCUUAACCUUGAUGUCCCUUUUUGAAAAUUAGUUGAGAAUGUUGUGGUUAUUUAAAGGAUAUAUAUGCAUGUAUAUAUAUUGCUAGGGGAUGAAUACUGGGACCAUUACGAGCAGGUACGGUCUUUCACAUCUACCAUAUCCAAAAGGAGAACUUCUUACAUAUUCCACAAAGCGUAGAAAGGAAAUUUUUCUCCAGCAGAAAGAUAGUUUCUACAGUGUGCUUAGAGAGGAGGUUUAUUUUGUUUUGGCUGUUGCUGGCUUUGUUUUUUCCCUUGAAAGCCUAUUUUGUGAUUGUAGAAUGAUGUCAGUUGUCCUCAGUGGCAGACUUGAUGUGUUGAUCACUCACUGUUACAGGGGAUCACAAAAGAUAUCUUCGGUCCAAAGAAAAUCUCCCUGAAAGAUAUUAGAUAUUUAAAUAACUAUAACAUGCAAUAACUUUAACAUGCUAUGCAUUUCCAGGGUUGUUUUUGGUUGUUUCUUUUUUCAAUUUUUGCUAGGUUGUAUGUGUGAUCACUGUGUUUAGGGGAUGCCCUUCCAGCAAUGCAAAAGCAGCUGCAGGUCUGUAUGAAGACACUGUAUAUUUUUUCCUCUGCUGGCCUGGUUCAGAAACAUUGGCAAAACUUUCAUGGACUGACCGGUGUGCCAGAGUUCUAGCAUGGUAUUGUAGCUUUGGGAGGGUAAACUUUAUCAAAUAUAUGAUAUUAUAAAAACAAAGAACUCUGGUGUGUGUACACAUGCUAUUUAGUGCAAUUAGUUCUAUGGGCAGGCCAACAGAGUAGAUAUUCUGUACCUCUAGAUGAGUGAAGAAAGACCUCUUUAUGUAUUUGCAUCCAAGUAAGAGGCUUUCUGGAGCUGUUCAAAGCUCUGUGGUUAAAGCUGGAAACGUAAAGUGUGCUCACAGGGAGGGCACGGUGUCUGGUGAAACAAAUAAUUUGCCUUUUGGAUUUUAGGGAGCUCCAGAACGUUGGGCAAGAGGAGCUCGUGUAGAAAGUCAUUUCUGCUUGUCUGUGUAAUGCUAUCACAUUAGAAUGUCCUGAAGUAUUAGUAAGUUGUCAAGUGUUGAUGUUUUUAUCUAAAUUUCCUGGGAAAAGAUGCACAUCUUUUAUCCUAUCCUAUGUAAGGAUCUGUAGUUCUCAGACUGAGUUUAGAUCGAAGUUGCUGGCAGAAGAGUCAUAAAUUGGAUAAUUUAAAUGCCAAAUUCCCCUCUGCUGGGACGUGCAGGUUUGCGAAGUGUGCUGAGCAUGUCCCGGGUGAGGCUCUGAAAAACAAACAUUGAAAACUGCCAGUGUGUCAGGUAGUCAGAUACAUCUUGAUACAGUUUCAAGCCACCUGAAGAGAUGCACUUCUCUAAAAUGGCACCUUAUUCCAGCAGUGGAAACUGUGAAAUGAUGGAAAUAUGAGUGGCUGCACAGAAACCCCCAAGUUUCUAUGCGUGAGUGUAAUUUUUGAUAGGACAAGGGGGAAUGGUUUUAAACUGAGACAGGGGAGGUUUAGGUUGGAUAGUAGGAAGAAGUUUUUCACACAGAGGGUGGUGACGCACUGGAACAGGUUGCCCAAGGAGGCUGUGGAUGCCCCAUCCUUGGAGGCAUUCAAGGCCAGGCUGGAUGUGGCUCUGGGCAGCCUGGUCUAGUUGUUGGCAACCCUGCCCAUGGCAGGGGGGUUGAAACUAGAUGAUCAUUGUGGUCCUUUUCAACCCAGGCCAUUCUAUGAUUCUAUGAAUCUUACUUUGGACAGCAGAGCAGUUCCUUGAAGUUGCAGUAACAGAUGGUCUCGCAGCCUUCCCCUUCCCAAAAGUGAUCCUGCAGGCUCUCAUCAACUCGCCGGAGGCUCGCCAUGCCUUCGGGGAUGCUGUGGCAGCUGUGGUUGUGCAGGAUCCUCUUGUAGCAUGAGGGCCGCCGGGAGGGCACUGUGUGGACACCCAGGAGGGCACUCAGCAGAAGCAGAACCAAGAGCAUCUUCAUUUUUGGAAAGUUUCCUGUGCAGCAGUGCUAAAUAGAAAUGAGGUAUGUGACAUGGACACAGCUGUUGGAUAGAUCUCUUUCCCCAAUCUGCUUUCUAUCUUAAAUUUUUCUGUCUUUCCUGUGAACUUCCGGAGGCUUGAGCCUCUGUGUUGGAGAGUGUUUUCUCCUAGGAGGUAAAUAAGAUUGCCAUGGAAUUGAUAUUCAUUGCUUUCUGUACAAUCACAGGAAUCCCAUCGCUAGGAACUGAGGCUCCUUUUUUCUGGCAAUUUUGUUGUUACUUGCCCUCUCACCUUGAGAAAAUUGCUCUGAGUUGGCUGUGUUCGCUCAGUGAUGUGAGUGAGCACAUUGCUGGCUACCAAGGCAGGGAGAACGUGAGUCUCAUUGCUUUCCAGGUGAUUUUGGCUGGUUGAGAAUGUUGAAAUGUGUCACUAACUUAACAUUAAUAGUAUGUUUCCCCAUAAAAAAAUACGAGCAUUCCUAGUUCUAACUAUGAUAACAUCUAGAAAGAUUUUGUUGUCUUUCAUUCCAUUGGCACUUAGUUGAUCCCUUUAUGCUGCCACUGCAGACUACUUCUGGGCUGUCACACGUGCAUACUGGAUAGGGUAUUCUAAACUAACCUGGACAUAUAAAGAGCAUUUGGAUGUUGCGUUGAGGGACAUGGUUUAGCAAGAACCAUUGGUGAUGGGCGAAUGGUUGGACUGGAUGAUCCUGUGGGUCUUUUCCAACCUUAGUGAUUCUAUGAUUCUAUGAUAAUUAGCAACAAAACACCCUCUGAGCAAAUGCCAACUUCACGUGCCAUAGCUUUUAUCUAGAUAAGAAAAAAAUUGGGCAUGACAGGCAUAGAGAUCACUCAGAUAAUUGAUUCUUGCUUGUGUUAUUUGGUGGAACACUUGAGUCACCCUUGAAAAACAAGCAAUAAUCUAUUAAACAUAUACAUUAAUGUACUUAACUACCAUAGCUAUCUUGCUGAUAUUGUUUCUUCAGCCGAUGAAUGGCAAGCUGGAUACAACUUAGAAAAUCUGGUAAUUUGAAUUCACAUUAAGGAUCAAGUGUUACGCUUUGAUGCUCUUGAAUUAUAUUUUCCGUAAGAUUUUGUGCAAUCUUUUUUUUUUUUUAGCAUCACUAACCCAGUAAAGUGUUAAAAAUUGGCUAAUACGUUAAGGAAUACGACUACAAUGAAAAUAAACUCUUGUGUAUUUUCAGACUUCCGUCGUAGGAACAAAAUUAAUUGAACAGUUCCUUCUAGUUUCUGUGAACUUGUACAUGAACUUUUGAGUAGGAGGCUCCUAUAAACUACUGGUAAUGGAGCCUUGGGGAUCUAUUUUCAAAUUGCCUUAGAGUGCGGUAUUGAAUAACGCACUGUCUUUAUUAGUUUUAGGCCUCAAAACCACUUCUCUAAUAAAGUAAAAAUUGUUCUAACUUUGUCUGAUGUUAUUUUUUGGACGCAAGUAAAGAAACUGCAUUGUUAUAAUAAUAACUUUGUUCUGUAGUAGAAAUACUGCAGUUAUGAGGGUGCUGCUCAGAGAUGAGUAAUGCUCAAAGAAGUUUGUGCUGUACCUUGAUAAACAUCAGUGUUGAGGAAUACAGUUUAACAUUUUUCUGUUCAAAUAAUUGAACUUCAUUAUGUAAGUAUUUAAUGGAAGGAACGUUCCAUGCGAGAGAAAUUUAGGAAACAGAUGAGGUUUUUGCCUUUGUGUUCUGUGGUUGGAUUAUUCUGCGAGUUGCUCCCCUGAGGAUGAGGCAUUCAUAAUAUCUUGUAUGCGUUUUUUGUGCUUAAUUUGGAUGAGUUUUCCCUACAUGGAGUUUAGCUGGAGUGUUCAUUUCAAUCUGUUGCCAGCUGCCAAUCUGCUCUAAAUUAGUAGGAACACAUUCUGUCCCGAAAACUGACAGAUUUUCUGCAGGCUGUCAAAUUGCUGGAUUCAAGAAUCGUGAUCUGCAGUUGAGGAUAACUCAGUAUUCACUUUGGAGUACAGCAAGAUGUUGCUGUAGUGCAUCAUUGAGACUCGAUAUGGAUGGCUGCCAAAAGUGGUAUUAGCAAAGUCAUGUGCCAGUGAGCUGUGGAUAGACAGCUUCGCUCACAGGCUGGUUAUGCAUCUUGCCUACUCAGUACUGCUGCUUUUCAGAACAGUACUUUAUUAAAAUCAUUUUUUUUCCUGAAUGCUUCCUGUUUCUGUGUGGUUAGUAACUGAAAGGAAACUUUCAGUUAGAAGAACUUUCUUCAAAAGAUUGCUCCUUUACUGUAGAAGAAUGAUGCCUGCUUGCAGGUGAAAUAUUGCUAAGGACCUGGAGUGUUUCAGCAGUUCCCUGAACAGGGUCAGUGGUGAUAAACCCAGCAGACCUUGCAGAUGCAGAAUCUUAUGUUUUCUGACAAACUGCUGCAAAUUCUUCCAAACCUCAGUGAUGAAAUAUCACUUGAUUUCUUAGGUAAACAGAGCUAGAAAGUGCAUAUUUGUAUCAAAAUGUAUGUCAAAGACCUUAUCUGCCUUUGCUUAGCAUGGAAACAGUCUUCUCUUGUAAAACAAAUCAGGGAAAUUUGAACAAAUCCGAUCUCCAAAGUGACCCACAGAAUCAUUGCCAGCAAACUGUGUUACAUUUAUGUAAAGCCUUCUGAAAAAGCUGCAAUGCCAGCCACGCUAAGCCUGACCAGACUGCUCUAUCAAGACCGUAUCACUUCCAAUUCUAACAGAGGAGUUAAGCCAUCUACAAAUAUUUAAAAUGAGCUCCUGGCAGUUGCAGAAAUCCAUUUUAAGGAAUUAACUCCCUGGUUACUUUGAUACAGCGUAAGUAAAGUUCAGGGAAGACGUUCAGCUGGGCAAACAAACGCUUUGAACGACUGUUAGAAUUUUGCAUGGAGGAAACCAUUUUGUUGGAGAUUAUGUGGUGUGAUUCAGGAAUUACUGCUAUCCCUGCUCUUUCAGUGGAGAGCAUCCGGGUUGUCCUGCCAAGCAAUUUGGCACCAUCUCACAGUCAGAAUAAGACCAAACAAACAAACAAAAAACAAGUUUCAGCAUCCAGAUCUGUGAAUUAAAGGGUAAUAUUUAAUGAGGAUGGUGAUGCGCUUUGAAGUCCCUGUGAUACUGCUGGGGAGCUCUGGUGCAAGCAGUAGGAGAAAGAAGCAGGGAAAAUGGAGGAAUGGCACAAAAAUAUAUGUCUUGCUGUAUCUAGGAGAUCCUUCAGGUUUAGGAAAAUAUGCGUGUUUAAAAUUGUUGACUCUUAACUGUACUUUUCAGAGUUGUUAUGCUUUUCUGUGCAUCUCCAGUUGCCUAAUCCUAAAAAUGAACAAUGCCCUCAUCUGAUACUGACGUGGUGUAUGAUCUUUUCCAGUCAGUCCAGUGAUGUGCUGGGUUAGCAAGCUGGCUAAUUGUGCCUUAAAAAGUGAAGCGAAUGUUGUUUUCUAUAUGUGUUAUAUGUAGGCAUCACACUCUCAAUGUGCAUGGAGUUCAAGAGCUAAAAAUGCCCACUCAGAAUUAAAUUCCCUUUAAUCAUUUGUUAUUUGUCAGGUUAUCUUUCAGAAACACCUGCAAUUCCUGGCUUCAAGGUUCUGUAAAGAGCAGAACACUGAAUAUUUCAGUGUUAGUGCAUUAUAGGUAGACUUAUUAGUGCAUUUGCAAGAAAUCAUUACACAAGAACUGCAUAACUGAUAUUAUUAUAAAGAACUUUCUUCCAUAAAGUAUUCAAAUCUGUUUUGCCUGAACAGUUGGUGCAUUGUGAGGACAGCAGCUAUUCCACUGAGGAUGAAUUUGGUGAAUUGCUGCUUUGUAAUUCCCAUCAAUACCAUGAUUCUUUCCAGAAAUUGAGUUCUCAUUAAAAUCUAUUUAGUUCUUUUAAAGUCAGCAAUUUGUUGUGAGCGCACCUCUCUGCAUUUACCAUCUUUGCAAUAAUAUUGAGUACAGGAAGGCAAUAUAGCACAUUUAAUGGCUUCGGAUGUUAAUAUCUAACAUCCAACCUUGAAGAAGGGCAAGAUAGGAAAGAAGGAUCUUUAAUUGGAUCAUAUCCACGCAUCUGUCUCAACUAACAUCUUUUGCCUACAGUGUAUCUGAUUUUCCCAAAUCAUCUUCUGUAUGUUCCCACAUAUAUUCCUAAUUCUGCAGCCUGUAACUAGCACCAGAAGAACAUGUGCACAAGGAUAAUUGCAGGAACUAGACAUACCUUUUUCUUCUGCUUCACUCCUUUUCACUUUCUUAGCAGCUGUAUCUUUUCAGAUGUACACAGAGCUAGAGCUGGAGGGGAUGAGCAGAGGGAGGGCUGAUGGAGGUGCUGGACAAACAGCCUUUUGUCUGGCCUGGCUUCUGCCUGUGAGUGACACGCUCCCUGCUCCAGAGAGGGGCAGAGGAUGGGCUUCAAGAACUGCCUCUUUCAGACACUGCCAACCUUGAUGAGGGAAAGAACAGAGAGUGCAUCCCUUCCAGCAGGAAGCACUUAGUCUAUCCAGGACCUGAUGGCGAGAUGUGUCCUCAGAGAGCAAACCACAACACUCAGAAUGAGUGGCGAAAGUGCCCUGUGGAAUACGUGCCCUUCUGUGCCACCCGAGCAGGGCUGCGCUGAGCAGGGCAUGCAGCCAGCCAGCAGGCUUGUGUAACCCCUGCCUCUGAGAUUCUGUUUUUCGAGACUGAAAGAAUGGAGAACUGUAAUUGUUUUAACCAGAUUCUUGUAUGGCCUUCGAUAUGACCCCAUGCACUGAAUUCAUCACUGGCUAAUGUUUAAUCAAGAGGUAAAGGGUUACACUGAACAGUUUUCAGGGGAAGUUAUUUUAGACUAAUUUAACUAUUCAAGUAAUCUGGUGUGAUAAAAACACACAAAAUGGUCCUUGAAUAGAUCUGAAGCAUAAUGUAUUAAUGAGGAAACAAUCUCUGGGGUAAACUCUGGCACUUGGUCAAUGUCCUUACAUUUCUUUUGCAGUUUGGGUCCCUCUUUUGUUUGGGUCAUCCUGUCUCUAUUUCCUCACGUGGAUAGGGAAGUACAAUUGUACCUUAGAUUUUGAUCCUUAGUUUUUUACAUUUUCUAGUAUCUAGUGCAUCAUUUUGGUUCUUCCAUUUCUUUGUAAGGACCUGUAGUUCUAUAUCUGUUGGGCUGCUUCCACUGCAGGGGUUUGUUAGGAGUGUGAAUAGGUACCUCUGCUCAGCUGCUCCAAUUUACAAUUUAACUUCUUGAUGCUGUGAUGCUUGCAGCUGUUACACCUGCAUGUGCCCUCUGUUGGGAGCACAACCAGCAGGGCAUUUCCCUCCAUGCUGCAGAAGGGAGCAGGAUGUGUGCUUGUACCUCUGCAGGAUGCCUUUGCCUUUUCAGGAUGACAAGAUGCCUUGCUCUGGUUUUCUACAGGAAUUCUUUUCCAGUGUGGAUCCUAGCCCUUGCUGUUCAUCCUCUAAAUGAGAUUAUUAUAAUGCCUCUGUGAAGUGGCAGUGUCUCAGUUCCUGGGAGGGUCCUCCCUGAGCAGCAGGUAAGCAGUCUGAGGAGGGGUCACUUUGUUUAUAAAAUGGAGUGAGCGGGAAGAUCAUUCUUCUGAAAACAUUCUGCUUUGCUUUGAGAAGAGACUGAUCUAACAAAAAUACUGUUUUGAUGGUGCAUUGGUGCUUCUCCCUGUCCCUGCUCUGUAGGUCCAUGUUUGAUGUCUCCAGUCACUGCGAACAUUCAGAAACAGGAGGAAAUUUUCUCCCUUGUGGUGCUUCUUCAGUAUAGAAGCUGGGAAGUAAAUUUGAGAUUUGGAAGAAGCAAAGGUUUUAGGUGAGAUGGGGGUGAGAUGCAACCAAAGGCUACAUUGACUGAUAUAGGAACAGCUCUCUGAGGUGUGAAAAUUGAGGUAGGUAGGUUCCUUGUUCAAGGAACAUUUGGAUGUUGUGUUGAG
This 8002-nucleotide long non-coding RNA is filed under the name Gallus gallus (chicken). Lineage: Eukaryota; Metazoa; Chordata; Aves; Galliformes; Phasianidae. The record is from RNAcentral.